AACGAACGCUGGCGGCAGGCCUAACACAUGCAAGUCGAACGCACCGCAAGGUGAGUGGCAGACGGGUGAGUAACGCGUGGGAAUCUACCCGAUGGUACGGGACAACCAGGGGAAACUCUGGCUAAUACCGUAUGUGCCCCAAGGGGGAAAGAUUUAUCGCCAUCGGAUGAGCCCGCGUCGGAUUAGCUAGUUGGCAGGGUAACGGCCUACCAAGGCGACGAUCCGUAGCUGGUCGAGAGGACGGCCAGCCACACUGGGACUGAGACACGGCCCAGACUCCUACGGGAGGCAGCAGUGGGGAAUAUUGGUCAAUGGGCGAAAGCCUGAACCAGCCAUGCCGCGUGAGUGAUGAAGGCCCUAGGGUUGUAAAGCUCUUUCAGCGGGAAGAUAAUGACGGUA
RNAcentral lists this ribosomal RNA (399 nucleotides) under uncultured bacterium. RNAcentral's name for it is "bacterial SSU rRNA". It matches the Rfam family "Bacterial small subunit ribosomal RNA", at positions 29 to 477 of the family's 1533-position model. The record is from RNAcentral.